RNAcentral lists this ribosomal RNA (986 nucleotides) under Bartolius pierrei. RNAcentral's name for it is "bacterial SSU rRNA". It matches the Rfam family "Eukaryotic small subunit ribosomal RNA", at positions 897 to 1830 of the family's 1831-position model. The record is from RNAcentral. Lineage: Eukaryota; Metazoa; Platyhelminthes; Trematoda; Gymnophallidae.
UGGCGGUGUUAGAGGUGAAUUCUUGGAUCGCCGCCAGACAAACUACAGCGAAAGCAUUUGUCAAGGAUGUUCUCAUUAAUCUUGAGCAAAAGUUAGAGGUUCGAAGACGAUCAGAUACCGUCCUAGUUCUAACCAUAAACGAUGCCAACUGACGAUCCGUGGUAGUUCUUUUAUUGGCUCCGCGGGCAGUCCCCGGGAAACCCAUAAGUCUUUGGGCUCCGGGGGAAGUAUGGUUGCAAAGCUGAAACUUAAAGGAAUUGACGGAAGGGCACCACCAGGAGUGGAGCCUGCGGCCUAAUUCGACUCAACACGGGAAAACUUACCCGGCCCGGACACUAUGAGGAUUGACAGAUUGAUAGCUCUUUCUUGAUUCGGUGGUUGGUGGUGCAUGGCCGUUCUUAGUUGGUGGAGUGAUUUGUCUGGUUAAUUCCGAUAACGAACGAGACUCUAGCCUGCUAAAUAGUAUGCCUGUUCCCUGUGCUCGUAUAGGCUGGGACGUAUACGGCCUCCCGAGGUCGUGUCGUUGUUGGUCGGCGGGUACGGCGCGGGUAUAUGCUUCUUAGAGGGACUAGCGGCGUAACAGUCGUACGAAAUUGAGCAAUAACAGGUCUGUGAUGCCCUUAGAUGUCCGGGGCCGCACGUGCGCUACAAUGACGGUUUCAGCGAGUUUGGAAUCCGAGCCUGAAAAGGUAAGGUAAACUGAACCAUAACCGUCGUGACUGGGAUCGGGGCUUGCAAUUAUUCCCCGUGAACGUGGAAUUCCUGGUAAGUGCAAGUCAUAAACUUGCGCUGAUUACGUCCCUGCCCUUUGUACACACCGCCCGUCGCUACUACCGAUUGAAUGGUUUAGCGAGGUCAUUAGAUUGGCGCCAUUGUAGCGGUUCCGACUGCUCGACCGGUGCUGAGAAGAUGACCGAACUUGGUCAUCUAGAGGAAGUAAAAGUCGUAACAAGGGUUUCCGUAGGUGAACCUGCGGAAGGAUCAUU